GACGUCAUGGGCGGCGAGCGGCGGACGGGUGAGUAAUGCCUGGGAAUAUACCCUGAUGUGGGGGAUAACCAUUGGAAACGAUGGCUAAUACCGCAUAAUCUCUUCGGAGCAAAGAGGGGGACCUUCGGGCCUCUCGCGUCAGGAUUAGCCCAGGUGGGAUUAGCUAGUUGGUGGGGUAACGGCUCACCAAGGCGACGAUCCCUAGCUGGUCUGAGAGGAUGAUCAGCCACACUGGAACUGAGACACGGUCCAGACUCCUACGGGAGGCAGCAGUGGGGAAUAUUGCACAAUGGGGGAAACCCUGAUGCAGCCAUGCCGCGUGUGUGAAGAAGGCCUUCGGGUUGUAAAGCACUUUCAGCAGUGAGGAAGAGGUGCAGGUUAAUAGCCUGUAUCUUUGACGUUAGCUGCAGAAGAAGCACCGGCUAACUCCGUGCCAGCAGCCGCGGUAAUACGGAGGGUGCGAGCGUUAAUCGGAAUUACUGGGCGUAAAGCGCAUGCAGGCGGUCUGUUAAGCAAGAUGUGAAAGCCCGGGGCUCAACCUCGGAACAGCAUUUUGAACUGGCAGACUAGAGUCUUGUAGAGGGGGGCAGAAUUUCAGGUGUAGCGGUGAAAUGCGUAGAGAUCUGAAGGAAUACCGGUGGCGAAGGCGGCCCCCUGGACAAAGACUGACGCUCAGUGCGAAAGCGUGGGGAGCAAACAG
RNAcentral lists this ribosomal RNA (700 nucleotides) under uncultured bacterium. RNAcentral's name for it is "bacterial SSU rRNA". It matches the Rfam family "Bacterial small subunit ribosomal RNA", at positions 78 to 775 of the family's 1533-position model. The record is from RNAcentral.